UACGUAGGAGACAAACGUUAUCCGGAGUUACUGGGCGUAAAGGGCGUGUAGGUGGUUUUGUAAGUCUGGCGUGAAAUUUUUCGGCUUAACCGGGAAAGGUCGUCGGAUACUGCAAGGCUAGAGGACGGUAGAGGCGUGUGGAAUUCCGGGUGUAGUGGUGAAAUGCGCAGAUAUCAGGAGGAACACCGGUGGCGAAGGCGGGUCUCUGGGCAACAACUGACGCUGAGGAGCGAAAGCGUGGGGAGCGAACAGG
RNAcentral lists this ribosomal RNA (253 nucleotides) under uncultured bacterium. RNAcentral's name for it is "partial 16S ribosomal RNA". It matches the Rfam family "Bacterial small subunit ribosomal RNA", at positions 524 to 776 of the family's 1533-position model. The record is from RNAcentral.